Long non-coding RNA from Telopea speciosissima, 352 nucleotides. RefSeq lists it as uncharacterized. The record is from RefSeq and is a predicted model, not a curated record. The transcript is spliced from 2 exons. NCBI's taxonomy places the organism in Eukaryota, Viridiplantae, Streptophyta, Magnoliopsida, Proteales, Proteaceae.
CUGCUUCUGCAAUGGUUCUGUCUAGCCAUCUUUUAACCCUUUUUCUCUGACUUGCUCUGGCAGUUGAUCAAUCUAUUUUCCUAGGUUUCUGUUAAUAGGUUCCAAAAAGAAAUUCCUGAAUUUAUGUGAAGUUCUAGUUAGAUAUUUUAACUCCUUAAAUUUAAUAAUUUAGUAGUGCCCAGGUAAUUAUCUUGGUUUGUACAGAUGAUAUGGAUAGAGCAUGAAAUGGAUUUGUUCAUAUCUGAUAUUUGAUAGUCUAGUAGUUUAUUUUAUUGAACCUGCUUUGAAAUUCAAUUUGAAUGGGGAACUCAGAUUCAUAGCUGUGUUUAUAUUAUGAAGGGAAAGUAUAGUG